UCAAACAAACAGGGACUAAAAACGCAAAUGUCCCUAGUCCCGAAAUGUGGCGCUUAGGCGUGGACCGAAUUGAAGCAAUGCGCGAAUUCUUGGAAAAAUUUAAAAAAAGCAAAGAGAUCAAAACCAGGUUCAAUCGAACAGCUCCACAAAGAAAGGGACCAUGCGCGCAAAUUAACCUUUCAAGGUGAAAAGGCGCGGAUCCGGGCCUCUAAAUGGGUCAACGCGCGGAUCCCUUUUCUACCAAACGGCCCGUUUCGAUUUUGACAAAGUCAGGUUAAAGAAAACCCUAAAACUAGUUGUAUACCAUUCAAAGGCAGAUCAAAACGAUAAAAAAAAAAAUCUAAAGCCUAGCCUCCUAUUCAUUAGGCCGAACUCUAGGUCCUUUCGCCUGCCGUCCGACCUUCAUACUUGAUCCACGGUCAUCAUACAAAAGGCCUAAUCCGGCUCCGUCCGACCGUGAGUCCAAAGGAUCUUUCAGAAGCCUCUGAAUCCCCUCCCCAAAACUCCGACCGCGAUGAAGUGAGCGAGGAUUCGAGGGAACCAAAAACGGAGGUAAGCCUUUUUUCGUUGUUUCUUUUAUACAUCAAAUAGAAAAGCAAGAAACCAAGAAAGAAAGAUCACCGAAUCGGGGAAGAAGAAGAACUAAAAAGGUCACCUUUUUAAUAUUUUUCUAUUCGAAUGCUUUUGAUUGCUUUUUUUUGUAUAUUGCCUCUAUUCGUAACCUUUACAACAAUUAAAAGCUUGGCUUUUAUAGCCGAAAAAAGAGAAAAAUAAAUCGAAAAUAUACAAUAUAUUUUUGUUUCUAUUCGCUGCUGCUCUGUUUGUUUGCCUGCAGGUAUGGGUGUGCGCUGGCGUACGGGGCGUACGGAGGCAUGGAGCUGCUGUCCGGUUGCUGUUGCGGCGCAGGAGAAGGGGGGUGACUUAGGGUUUGUCUUGGUUUAAUAUUAUGGGCCUAUCGGGCCUUGUAAAUUUGGGUUAAGUUAAAAUUGGGGCUUGGGUCAUGGUUUAGUUAUUGGUUUUGGGCUGAUGGGGUCAUGUAACUGGGUUUGUUUUUUGGGUUUUGGGUCAAAGCUUGUAAAUGGACUGUGGACAUUUUUUGGUUUAAUAUUAUUUUUUGUUUUUUGUGUUGUAACGGGCCGGGCAAAAUUUGGGCCUUACAAUUAGUUAUUUAUAUUUGAUACUAAAUCUGUAAAUAAAUAACAAAUAAAAAAAUUAACUUUUAUUUAAAAAAUAUUAGAUCCUACUAAAAAAAUAUAAUUACAAAUUAACCUUAUAAACUCGAACUUGAUUUUUGCAGUAUAAAGCACAAUUCUUUUUUCUUUUCAAUAGAAAGCAAAAAAACUUCACCAGAAACCCAAAAUUUCACCAAAAACAUAUUUUUGGCCUAAGAAGGGGUGUAUAUAGUGGGUGAUGUCACCUCAUA
This 1423-nucleotide long non-coding RNA is filed under the name Gossypium barbadense (sea-island cotton). RNAcentral's name for it is "long non-coding RNA (GBAR_LNC008680)". The record is from RNAcentral. Lineage: Eukaryota; Viridiplantae; Streptophyta; Magnoliopsida; Malvales; Malvaceae.